RNAcentral lists this ribosomal RNA (306 nucleotides) under uncultured bacterium. RNAcentral describes it as "bacterial SSU rRNA". It matches the Rfam family "Bacterial small subunit ribosomal RNA", at positions 30 to 333 of the family's 1533-position model. The record is from RNAcentral.
AUUGAACGCUGGCGGCGUGCUUAACACAUGCAAGUCGUGCGGUAACAGGCGUAGCAAUACGUGCUGACGAGCGGCGAACGGGUGCGUAAUACAUGGGAAUCUGCCCUUUAGUGGGGAAUAACCCGGCGAAAGCCGGGCUAAUGCCGCAUAAGAUCUUCGGAUGAAAGCGGGGGGAUCGUAAGACCUCGCGCUGAUGGAUGACGCCCAUGUCGGAUUAGCAGUUGGUGAGGUAAAGGCUCACCAAGGCGACGAUCCGUAGCUGGUCUGAGAGGACGGCCAGCCACACUGGGACUGAGACACGGCCCA